CCUACGGGAGGCAGCAGUAAGGAAUAUUGGUCAAUGGGCGCAAGCCUGAACCAGCCAUGCCGCGUGCAGGAUGACGGCCCUCUGGGUUGUAAACUGCUUUUAUACGGGAAGAACAGCAUCUACGUGUAGGUGUUUGACGGUACUGUAAGAAUAAGGACCGGCUAACUUCGUGCCAGCAGCCGCGGUAAUACGAAGGGUCCAAGCGUUAUCCGGAUUUAUUGGGUUUAAAGGGUGCGUAGGCGGCUUUUUAAAGUCAGUGGUGAAAGCCUGAUGCUCAACAUCAGAACUGCCAUUGAUACUGAAGAGCUUGAGUACAGUUGAGGUUGGCGGAAUGUGUCAUGUAGCGGUGAAAUGCUUAGAUAUGACACAGAACACCGAUUGCGAAGGCAGCUAGCUAAGCUGUUACUGACGCUGAUGCACGAAAGCGUGGGGAGCAAACAGGAUUAGAUACCCUGGUAGUCCACGCCCUAAACCGUUGAUAACUCGUUGUUAGCGAUAUACUGUUAGCGACCAAGCGAAAGCAUUAAGUUAUCCACCUGGGGAAGUACGGUCGCAAGAUUGAAACCCUUAGAAAGUAGUGGAGNGNGAGACGACGACGACGGACGACGACGGAGGGAGGAGG
This 622-nucleotide ribosomal RNA is filed under the name uncultured bacterium. RNAcentral's name for it is "bacterial SSU rRNA". It matches the Rfam family "Bacterial small subunit ribosomal RNA", at positions 338 to 1212 of the family's 1533-position model. The record is from RNAcentral.